CUCGCAAGAGUGAACUAGCUAACUGAAAUCACUAGUGUGUCACAAGUGAUGUCGUAAGAGGAAAAUAAUGAUAUUACCUUACUAAUAGUGUCGUCAAAAGUUGGUGCCAGAAGACUCGGUAAGACCAGAGACGCAAACGUUAAUCAUCAUAACCAGGCGUAAAGGGUUUGUAGGCUGCUUUAUUUUUUAAAUAGAGCUAGAAUCAAAUAGAGGUUAUUUUAAAGAACACUUGGAGCUAGGGAUUAAAUCCAUAGAUACUAAGGAGAAUACUUAAGGCGAAAGCAUUUAACCACUACUGAUUGACGCUGAGAAACGAAAGGGAGGAGAGGAAAUAGGAUUAGAUACCCCGGUACCCCUCCCCGUCAACGAUGAAUGGUAGUUUUUAGUGAAAUAACACUAGAGGCGAUGUUAACACGUUAACCAUUCCGCCUUGUGAGUACGAUUGCAAAAUUGAAAACAAAAAAAUUAGUCGGUUUCGAAGCAAACGAAGUGAAGCAU
This 498-nucleotide ribosomal RNA is filed under the name Wolfiporia cocos. RNAcentral's name for it is "SSU rRNA". It matches the Rfam family "Bacterial small subunit ribosomal RNA", at positions 396 to 940 of the family's 1533-position model. The record is from RNAcentral. Lineage: Eukaryota; Fungi; Basidiomycota; Agaricomycetes; Polyporales; Phaeolaceae.